UUACUUGUGAAGUUCACACUAUUGAAACUAAUUGCAAUGCUUGACUUUAUUUUCUUUAGAGUCCAAGAAAGAGAAAAACAAGGCAUAGCACAAAUCCCCCUCUAGAGUGUCAUGUUGGUUGGGUAAUGGAUUCCAGAGACCAUGGGCCAAGAACAUCCUCUGUCAGCACUUCAAAUGCUUCACCUUCAGAAGGCGCACCACUAGCAGGAAGUUAUGGAUGUACUCCUCAUUCAUUCCCAAAGUUCCAGCAUCCUUCUCAUGAACUUUUGAAGGAAAAUGGCUUUACCCAACAAGUGUACCACAGGUAUCGUCGAAGAUGCCUAAGUGAGAGAAAACGCUUGGGAAUUGGUCAGUCCCAAGAAAUGAAUACCCUCUUUCGUUUCUGGUCCUUUUUCCUCAGAGAUCACUUCAAUAAAAAAAUGUAUGAGGAAUUUAGACAACUUGCUUGGGAAGAUGCAAAAGAAAAUUACAGGUAUGGGUUAGAAUGUCUGUUCAGGUUUUAUAGUUAUGGACUGGAAAAAAAAUUCAGGCGAGAAAUUUUUCAGGAUUUCCAAGAAGAAACCAAAAAAGACUACGAAUCUGGUCAGCUGUAUGGACUAGAAAAGUUUUGGGCUUAUUUGAAAUAUUCUCAAUCUAAGACACAGUCUAUUGACCCAAAACUUCAGGAAUACCUCUGUAGUUUUAAGAGGUUAGAAGACUUCCGUGUUGAUCCCCCUAUUAGUGAUGAAUUUGGAAGAAAAAGACAUUCCUCUACUUCUGGUGAGGAGAGUUAUCGUCAUAGACUUCCACCUAAUUCCUCUACAAAGCCACCAAAUGCUGCUAAACCUACAUCUACCAGUGAGCUUCAGGAGGCUGAUCCAAUAGAGUAAUACCUAAUUAUAUCACCAUGAGAUGGCAAAACGGAAUGUCAGAUCUGUAGACUUUUGACAGGAAAAAUCACCAUGAUCGAUUACUUCUGCUCAUCGUAAACAUCUAGUUCCUAAGCAGGAUAUGAGAAUCUGCCUUCCUGUGACCUCUCCUGGGCUCAGUGACACUCCAGUCGCCGCCCCACCCCACACCAAUGCCACUUCCAAGUUUGACUUGCAUCUUACAAACCAUAUUUCUGUUUACUUUUUUUCUGCCCUGGGACAUUUUUAAUAACUUUUAGAUAACAACUUCAACAAAAAUUUACCUCCCACCAA
RNAcentral lists this small RNA (1181 nucleotides) under Pan troglodytes (chimpanzee). Its description in RNAcentral is "processed transcript". The record is from RNAcentral. Lineage: Eukaryota; Metazoa; Chordata; Mammalia; Primates; Hominidae.